UUCGUUGGUCUUACUCUUAUCUAAACAAAACGAGAAGAGAUAAUCACUUUCUCUUAUUCUUAUUCUUCUUCUUCUUUCUUUUUCUUUCUCCUCUGUUCGUCUGGUUUCUUCUCGAUCGAUUUUUGAGCGAUGAAAUUGAGCUCUAUUUGAUGGAAUUAAUUGGCGAAGUUGUUUAGGUGAACAAGGAGAUGUAGUUUUUGUGAAUUAUGAAGGAAGUUGGAGCUGUUGUGAUGAAGAUCGAAUAGAAAUUUUUAGGGUUUCUGUAAGAUGGUGAGAAAAAGAUUUGAGGUAACGAUUGAAGAUGGGUUUCAAGAACUUGAGUAGAAGAAGAGAUUGUUAUGUCAAUUUGAAGAUUAAUAUUCAGAGAAGAAUGGUAUUUUGAUAAUUAGGAUUCUUGGAAGUGAUUUCGAGAUCCAAUUAAGGGUGAUUAAGAAGGAAUUAAAUGAGGGGUUUGUUAGUUUAGAAGUCUUUGAUUCAUGUUUUGAGUUUGAAUCAGAGAAGAGAAGAUUGGAAACUGAAUUGUGGUUAUAUUGAGAGUUGAGAUGGUGAUAAAGAUUAGGAGUCUGAAAUCGAGAAAAGAGAAGUAAAAUUAAGAACCAAUUGGUGAUGGUGUCAGUUCAGGUGUUGAUUCAAUUCAAGAACAAUCGAGUAAGGUAAUUAAGGGUUUCUCUUAUUUCAAUAUAUGUUUUCGUAGAAUUGAAGAUGAAAUGAUGAUAUCUAGAUUGGUUUGUGUUUUCAUUGAAGUUUAAUUGACUUUAUGGUGUUUUAGUUCGGUUUGUUUGUGAAAUUGAGAAGUUGUGAUUUUAAUUUGAAUUAAGGCAGUCGAUGUUAGUGAUGGUGAAGUUGAUAUGAAGCUGCAGGUGUUAUGAUGAUGAUGUUGUUAAUGUUGUAGUUGUUGUAGUAUUAUGAAAUGUAGGGAAGGGGUUGGAGGCUUGUUGAUUAAGAAUUCGAACUAGUCUGGUUGUGUGUAUAUGAGAUUGUAGGUUUUAUGAGAUAAUAUAAGUGGAGGAGAAUAUUGUACGUGGUAUUAAUUUGGUGAAGUACAGAGUCUAGAAUUGAGUUUAUGAAUGCAAACUUGGAACUUCCAAGAGUGUUAUUGAUGUUGCUCUGCACUAAAUUGGAUGCUAAUUCAAAAUGUUGUGGUUAUGGUGAUGCUGCACAGUUGGUGGUGUUGGAGUGAGUUAAUUUGAGACAGAUCAUAGGUUGGUUUCAAUUGUGGAGUUUGAAGGUGAGUUUUAGAGAAUGAACUAUAUAGGUGAGAUGCAGAUGAUAGUGGUUUGAGGUUCUGGUGGUGGGUUUGUGCAUAAGAUGAGUAUUGUAGAAGGGUAUCUAGAGAGGAAGUUGCAGAUGGAUACUAAGAAGGUCUUAGUUGUAUUUAGAGAUAUAGUUAGAGUUGGUUUGGUUGUGUAGUUAGCUGAAGUCAAAUGUUUGUAUGAUUGUACUGAAAGAGUGAAGGUUAGAUGAACUUUGGAGUUGAAUCUGUGCAGUGAGAGGCUUGUAGUUGCUGACUAAAGUUUCAGAGACAGAUCAGAGUUGCACGAAAGCGUCGAGGAGUUGAUUUCAUUAGUUGGUUAACUUCGGUUAUGUUUAUUAUGUUUCAUAUUAUAUUUGUUAACCAAAUGACUAUUGUAUGUAUGUAUCAUUUGAGAGAAGUUCUUGUAUUUAUAUAAUUCUGAGCGGGGCUAGUUUUGGGUUAAGUUUUGUAGCAGAUCUCUUAAUUGAAUGCUUAAAUUUAUGAUUUAGUUUCUUAGUGCC
Papaver somniferum (opium poppy) is the source of this 1755-nucleotide long non-coding RNA. RefSeq lists it as uncharacterized. The transcript has 2 exons. The record is from RefSeq and is a predicted model, not a curated record. Lineage: Eukaryota; Viridiplantae; Streptophyta; Magnoliopsida; Ranunculales; Papaveraceae.